RNAcentral lists this long non-coding RNA (318 nucleotides) under Piliocolobus tephrosceles (Ugandan red Colobus). Its description in RNAcentral is "lncRNA (ENSPTEG00000013588.1)". The record is from RNAcentral. Lineage: Eukaryota; Metazoa; Chordata; Mammalia; Primates; Cercopithecidae.
CAGGCUCCGCGCAGGGCUCGCCAGGCGGGCAGGCGCACGGGGGACACCUGCGAGCCUGGAGGUGGCGGAGGGUGCGAACCCGGCGGCGCGGCCAAACCUGCGCUGGCUGCCUGGGCCUCCUGGGCCAGGAGCUGGCACUGGGGGCGGCGGCGGUGUGGGAAAGUGGCGCCGCGGUGGGGCCUCCUGGAUGUGUCGGCGGAGGUGGCUUCAGUCCCGCGGAGCCCAGGCUUCAGGCUUUCACCAAUUCUCGGGAUGCCCAUAGGGAUGGGUGAAGCCCGCCUGGCCUGUGGUGCUCCCCAGUGGCCGUCAUCUCACUAG